RNAcentral lists this long non-coding RNA (2732 nucleotides) under Zonotrichia albicollis (white-throated sparrow). RNAcentral describes it as "lncRNA (ENSZALG00000005387.1)". The record is from RNAcentral. Lineage: Eukaryota; Metazoa; Chordata; Aves; Passeriformes; Passerellidae.
CUGUCCCCACGUCCAUGUCCGUGUGUCUGUCCCCAUGUCCCCCAGCCAUGUCCAUGUCCGUGUGUCUGUCCCCAUGUCCAUGUCCGUGUGUCUGUCCAUGUCCCCAGCCAUGUCCCCGUGUCCGUGUGUCUGUCCAUGUCCCCAUGUCCCCAUCCCUGUGUCCCCAUCCCUGUCCCUGUGUCCAAGUCCAUGUCCGUGUGUCUGUCCCCAUCCCUGUCCCGGUGUCCAUGUCCCCAUGUCCCCGUGUCCCCAUCAGUGUCCCCAUUGGUGUCACACUCACGCAGCCCGGUGGACUCCAUGCGCGACGCCGUGUUCACCGUGUCCCCGAACAGGCAGUACCGCGGCAUCUUCAGCCCCACCACGCCCGCACACACCGGGCCUGGGGACACCUGGGUGUCACCGCUGGGGUGCCACUCCCGUCCCCAUUCCCAUUCCUGUCCCCAUUCCCAUUCCCAUUCCCAUUCCCGUUCCCAAUCCCAUCCCCAUUUCCCAUUCCCAUCCCUGUUCCUGUUCCCACCAGUGUGGAUGCCGAUGCGCAGCUCCAUUUCCCAUUUCCAUUCCCAAUCCCAUUUCCCAUUCCCAUUUCUCCGUUCCCAUCCCCAUCCCCAUUCCCACCAGUGUGGAUACCAAUGCCCAUUCCCCAUCCCCAUUUCCCAGUUCCCAUUCCCAUUCCCAUUUCCCAUUUCCCCAUCCCUGUUCCCAUUCCCAUCCCCAUGACCGUUCUCACCGGUGUGGAUACCAAUGCCCAUUCCCCAUUCCCAUUUCCCAGUUCCCAUUCCAUUUCCCAUCCCUGUCCCCAUCCCCAUUCCCAUUCCUAUUUCCCAAUCCCAUCCCCAUUCCCACCACUGUGGAUUCCCAUCUCCAUUCCCAUUCCCCCAUCCCCGUUCCCAUUCCUGUCCCCAUUUCCCUGUUCCCAUUUCCACCAAUGUGGAUGCCAAUGCCCAUUCCUGUUCCCCAUUCCCAUUUCCCGUACCCAUUCCCAUUCCCAUUCUCAUUCCCGUUCCCAAUUCCGUUCAUCCCCACCGGUGUGGAUGCCAAUGCCCAUUCCCAUUUCUCAUUCCCACCAGUGUGGAUUCCCAUCUCCAUUCCCAUUUCCAAUCCCAUUCCCAUCCCCAUUUCCCCGUUCCCAAUCCCAUUUCCAAUCCCAUUCCCAUCCCCAUUUCCCCAUUCCCAUUUCCCCAUUCCCAUUUCCCCAUUCCCAAUCCCAUUUCCAUCCCCAUUUCCCCGUUCCCAAUCCCAUUUCCAAUCCCAUCCCCAUUUCCCCAUUCCCAAUCCCAUUCCCAUCCCCAUUUCCCCAUUCCCAAUCCCAUUUCUCCCAUUCCCAUUCCCAUUUUUCCCGUUCCCAUUCCCGUUCAUCCCCACCGGUGUNCCACCCAUGGACUCAUUUCAGGGGUCACCUCCCGCCUCAAAAUCCUCUCUGGAUGUCAUCCCUCAUCUGGGGACUCUUUUUGGGGGUCACCUCCCACCCAUGGACCAUUUUAGGGUGUCACCUCACAUCUGGGGGAUCUUUUUCAGGGGUCACCUCCCAGCUGGGGACUCUUUUUGGGAGUCAUCUCCCACCCAUGGACCAUUUUCAGGGGUCAUCUCCCACCCAUGGACCCUUUUCGGGGGUCACCUCCCGCCUCAAAAUCCUCUCUGGAUGUCAUCCCUCAUCUGGGGACCCUUUUUGAGGGUCACCUCCCACCCAUGGACCCUUUUCAGGGGUCACCUCCCACCCCUGGCUCCUUUCUAGGGGUCAUCUCCCACCCAUGGCCUCAUUUCGGGGGUCACCUCCCGCCUCAAAAUUCUCUCUGGAGGUCAUCCCUCAUCUGGGGACUCUUUUUGGGGGUCACCUCUCACCCAUGGACCAUUUUAGGGUGUCACCUCACAUCUGGGGACCUUUUUCAGGGGUCACCUCCCAGCUGGGGACUCUUUUUGGAGGUCAUCUCCCACCCACAGACUCUUUUUGAAGGUUACCUCCCAUCUAGGGACUUUUUGGGGGUCAUCUUCCAUCUCAGGACCCUUUUUGGGAGUCAUCUCCCAUCCAUGGACUCUUUUCAGGGGUCACCUCCCAUCCAUGGACUCUUUUCAGGGGUCACCUCCCACCUCAAAAUCCUCUCUGGAUGUCAUCCCUCAUCCAGGGACCCUUUUUGAGGGUCACCUCCCACCCAGGGACCUUCUCUGGAUGUCACCCCUCAUCUGGGGACCCUUUCCGAUGGUCAUCACCCACCCAGGAACCCUUUUUGGGGGUCACCUCCCACCCAGGGACCCUCUCUGGAUGUCACCCCUCAUCUGGGGACCCUUUCCGAUGGUCACCACCCACCCAGGAACCCUUUUUGAGGGUCACCCCUCACCCAGGGACCCUCUCUGGAGGCCACCCCUCAACUGGGGACUCUUCCUUGGGGUCACCACCUACUCAGGAACCCUCUCUGGAUGCCACCCCUCAUCUGAGGACCCUUUCUGAUGGUCACCACCCACCCAGGGGCCCUCUCCGGGGGUCCCUGGUGGCACCUGUUGAANUGUCCCCAAUGUCCCCACGGUGUCCCCAGGUGUCCCCAGUGUCCCCAUGGUGUCCCCAAUGUCCCCAAUGUCCCCAUGGUGUCCCCAAGUGUCCCCAAGUGUCCCCACAGUGUCCCCAAGUGUCCCCAUGGUGUUCCCACCCGCUCACCCUCCCCGUUGGACUCCAUGCGUGACGCCGUGUUCACGGUGUCCCUGUGGUGUCCCCAAUGUCCCCAAGGUGUCCCCACAGUGUC